AGUGAACGCUGGCGGUAGGCCUAACACAUGCAAGUCGAACGGCAGCACAGUAAGAGCUUGCUCUUACGGGUGGCGAGUGGCGGACGGGUGAGGAAUACAUCGGAAUCUACUUUUUCGUGGGGGAUAACGUAGGGAAACUUACGCUAAUACCGCAUACGACCUACGGGUGAAAGCAGGGGAUCUUCGGACCUUGCGCGAUUGAAUGAGCCGAUGUCGGAUUAGCUAGUUGGCGGGGUAAAGGCCCACCAGGGCGACGAUCCGUAGCUGGUCUGAGAGGAUGAUCAGCCACACUGGAACUGAGACACGGUCCAGACUCCUACGGGAGGCAGCAGUGGGGAAUAUUGGACAAUGGGCGCAAGCCUGAUCCAGCCAUACCGCGUGGGUGAAGAGGGCCUUCGGGUUGUAAAGCCCUUUUGUUGGGAAAGAAAAGCAGCAGGUUAAUACCCCGCUGUUCUGACGGUACCCAAAGAAUAAGCACCGGCUAACUUCGUG
This 492-nucleotide ribosomal RNA is filed under the name uncultured bacterium. RNAcentral's name for it is "partial 16S ribosomal RNA". It matches the Rfam family "Bacterial small subunit ribosomal RNA", at positions 29 to 507 of the family's 1533-position model. The record is from RNAcentral.